RNAcentral lists this long non-coding RNA (734 nucleotides) under Hordeum vulgare. Its description in RNAcentral is "long non-coding RNA (HVUL_LNC016479)". Lineage: Eukaryota; Viridiplantae; Streptophyta; Magnoliopsida; Poales; Poaceae. The record is from RNAcentral.
GUAGAUAUACAUGUGCAUGCUGACAUGCGCAUCCGCGUUGAAAGGAUCGUUCCUGUCAUCCGUUCCGGAAGAGAACAAGACGAAGAAGACGAUGCUAGCUAGUUCGGCCACCGUCUCUAUCCCAACGCUUUCUCCUCUUCUUUCCCGUGUACAUAAACAAAGUCAUUGUUGAGUAAGCCAAACAAAGACCAGUUGCUAGCUAGCUAUACCGGCCAGCUGCUGCAAAAAACGAUCAGACCAAGCACAAAACGGAUCCAUGGCCUGGCAUGCAUGACAGCAACAAACCACUGGCUAGCUCGGCCAGCGCCACCGCACAAGCUUAACCAGAUCGAACAAGAAGAAGCACCCUCACGGCCAAGGAUAACGAACGAACGAACGUACGUCUCCGUAGAAGAAAGAAUCGUCCAAGGAGGGCCGGCCGGGACCCGAUCCGUAUGAAAGGAGGAGCAUCACAUGCCACGCCCAGUCGGUUGCCUGCCUGCCCCUGCCCCCGUCCAUGACGACCUUGGCCCGAAACACUUGUGUGAAGCAUCCGUACGUGCAGGCGUGGCCAUGGCAUCGGCAUCGGCACCGGCACCUUUCGCCUUUCCUUUCCCCGCACUUAAUGUUGUGUUGGGGUGUGGAGACUUUGAGCCUUGGACCUCGCAUCGCAUGGAGAAGAGAAGAGAAUGGCCCUCCACUACUCCACUCCCCCGUCGUCACCGCGAAACUGCCUCCCCCAGCGCGUGGCGAGA